Equus caballus (horse) is the source of this 1597-nucleotide long non-coding RNA. The record is from Ensembl. NCBI's taxonomy places the organism in Eukaryota, Metazoa, Chordata, Mammalia, Perissodactyla, Equidae.
GUAAGGGCAGAUCGGGGGGUCCUUGGUGAGCUCUCUGGGGACCGUAGGCACAGAUCCUGGUUAAAUAAUGUCAGCUCCACCGCCUGUCCCCCGACUUGCUGUCGCUAACACGUGCUGAUGCCAGCUCCAGUUACAGUACAAAGGCCCUGCAGGUCUGCCCUGGAAGAAGGGAAAAAGGGCAACCUGGCGUGUCUUGAAUGUGUAGCAAAAAGCAGGCUUAAGAGCUGGAAGCAGAUGACCAGAAGCUUCACGGCCAUUCGUUCAAUCAUCAGCAAACUGCAGAGUCCCUACCAGGUACCAGCACUGAUGCCCAAGACACAGUCCCUCCCUCACAGAGCUGAACAGAGUGGGGGAGAUGGACGCUUGACACAUUGAGAAAUAAUAAGAUGUUUCCAGCCAAGAAAACAAGAUGAAAUCACAGGUGAGAGAGUGACAAAGGGGGGGUGGGCAUAUGUCGCACAGGGCAUGCCAGGAAACCGUUCCAAGCAGGUGACACGUGAGAGGGGACCUGAAUGAGAAGGAGCAGCCAAAUGAACCAUGCAGAGAAGAGUAUCCAGAAGACAGGAACAGCCAGUGCAAAGGCUCAGAGUCUACCUCAUCUGAAGUCUAAAGCAUUCGCCAAUAAGAAUUGUUCUCAUCCACUCGGGAUGCUUCUUGGCUUCGUGAGGACGAAGGUGCAGCCUCUCACUGCAGUAAGACCUUCUAAGAUCUCUUUCCUCUUCUGGAAAGCAGGGCGGUGAGGGGUGCAGGGAGCUCCAUGGGGCCUCCUCUCAGGUUAGCUCCUCCACUGGCCUGACACCCAGGUCCUGUCGUGCCCUAAAUCCACAGAGCCGGAGGCUUCCUUUCACGUCGCCUGGGUCCGUGUUUCCCAAACGUCGGCAUUCACACCCCAGCCCCGUGCUGCAGACCUCACCUCACUGGCCCGGGCAGGAAGACCCUCAUUCCUUGUGAGCACUGUGAAACAAUCCACCACAUCAAGCGUGAGCCGAAUCAGCCCCUCAGGAUGCUCCGGAGGACUCACGUGCGCAUUCACUCCUCCACUGGGAUUCACAAGGAGCUGGGAUGUGUUGGAUCCUGUUCAAGUCACCGGAGACGAAGCAGAGAACGAACAAGGAGCCUGCCCUGGAGGAGCUUCCGUUCCCCUGGGGAAACAGAUGACGCACCAGCGAACCAAUGAAGGGGUCACAGCCAAGGUUGGAUACAGCCUCCGUGCUGUCCGAGACACGGGAACAGGGCUCCACAAGUGGUUCCAGAUGCCGCGGGCCCCAUGCAGAGAGGUUGCUGGAAACCAGAUGCCUCCAGGAAGCCACGGGCCAUGCUGCCCCCAGCACCACCCCUGAGUCCCACGGAGAAGGCUGCUGAGGAAUUCGGCCCCAGGCCAGGCAGGGUGUGCCUGGGACUCCAGCCCCUCCAUUCCCUGAUGACAAAAUCUUCUUCGACUGCUCAAGACGCCUUGGCAGAGGCUGCGCGUGCAGGCGCCAGUCUAUUCAAGUUUUGCGUUCUUAUGUAAAAAUCCAGAUCUCAGGCUGCCUUUGUGGAGACCACGCACGUGGCAACAUCAGGCUGGCAUCCUUGGGUAGUGACUGUACACACUACC